This 4763-nucleotide long non-coding RNA is filed under the name Marmota monax (woodchuck). The record is from RNAcentral. Lineage: Eukaryota; Metazoa; Chordata; Mammalia; Rodentia; Sciuridae.
CCUGAACUUUGGACACACAGAGGGCCAAGUGCUGAGAGACCCCAACCAUAAAAUGAGAGGUAUGCCUCCAUCAUCCCCAGCUUUCUUCCAGGUGCGAUGUUCAACCCUGGCUUCUUGCUCCUGUUCUGAGGGUAUCAGCUCUUUGAUGGGUAGGAAGUUGGCCUAGGGAAUUUCUACUUCAAGGAAAAUUCCAUAUCUUUGGGACUUUCCUUCUAUCUCUUGGACAGAAGCCAUCAUUUGAGGGAUUUACAAUCCUCCCAUGGUGCACCUCACCAACAGUCCUCUGUUUCUUCACACCUGUGUUUCUUCCUCUCCAAAGACACUUGUCUCUCACUGCCCCCAAUUCAGCUCCCACUUCUGGGCAGAAGCAUCUUCUAAUGCUAACAUCCCCUGGUAGGCCUUAUAUUACCAGGUGGAGUAGCAUUUCAGUAGGAUCCAAUGGGAGAGCAGAAGUCUCAGGCUGAGGGUGGAAAUCCAGGCACAAUGACAGUUGGGAGGAGAGAUCCAGAUUUCAGUCACCUACCUUGAGGGUCUCUGAGAUGCUCCAGCACAUUGUAGAUGCAGCUGCCAGCUUACAUUGCUUGACCAGGAUGCUGUGGUGUCCACACACUCUUCGUUUCUCAUCUGCAUCCUGCCUUCAAAGUUCAGAGGGGCCUGGAAUGGUCUCAUAGGGAGUGGGGUUCCUGUUGCCAUGGUUGCCCCAUGGGUCACAAAGCUCAGUUCAAGGCUGAUAGGACUCUUGGGGAAGCUUGUUGCUAGGCUUGCUGACUGCCACAGCCUGGACUGCAGAUCUACCCCUGGUGGUGUGAAGGGUGUGUACAAGUCUUUCUGGCCUUGGGGCGGGGUUUGUGUAUGUGUUCUAGAAGCUCGGGUCUGGAGGGGACUUUUAUUGGCAUCAAGUGGCCUGUUCUCUUGUGGACUUCUCUGCAAUGUCAGUCACUGUCUCCCUUUGGCAUGGACAGGUAUAUGGGGGGUUAGUAAGACACGAGGAUAACUGUAUUCAAGCUCACUUUCACUACUUUAGGAUUCAAGACAAAAUCACUCUCUUAACCUCAGGCUUCUUCUGUAUUGUUGCUUCUAACAAUACAGAAAUACCCCAAUACAGGGCCUGACAAACAGCACACAUGGAGCCUCACUAUCCUGCUCUCAUCAUGUUUUUAGGGGGAGCAAAUAGCACUACUGGAAUGAUGUUGUCAACAGCCAAUCAGAAAGCUCAUGGACUGAUCCAACAAAAGGUGAGAUUUUGAAGGACCAGCUGGUGUCCUGGGACGUGGGAUAAACUUAUAAUAGGUGCACCAUUUUGUCUUCUAAAUUGUCUUCUAGCCAAAUUUCAGGAGCCACAUCAAGUUCUCUGGAGCAUUGGAACUUUUUGUUUGUAACUCAAAAUUCAACCUUACUGAGGCCUGGCAAAGGGUCUUCUCCUGGUGUCCUCGUCCAAGGGCUGAGACCACAAGGGGAAUUAUGAAAAGUACAGGAAGUUCUUACCCACUUGUCCUCAUCCUGAUGUGUCUUAAGGAGAAACCCAGUGGCUCGCAGGAGCACUGUCUCAUCUUUGCGUCUUCUGCUAGGAGAAUGAAGACAAGAUUUCUGGCAUCUCAUCAAAAAUUAGUAGACUUUAAUUUGGUAACAAGUGCAUCAGCCAGAUGAUAUGGGAUGAAAUAUAAAGUGUAGAAUAUCCUAUGCUGGCAUGGAGACAAUAUGUUGUGUAGGAGUGUGUGUCCAUACAUAUGUGUGCAUGUACAUAUGUUUCCUCUUGGGUCAGUGAAUUUUAGAUGCCAAACCCAGUAGAGUUAAUGGGUCUUGAUGCACGUUGGUCAAUCAGAUAUGUUCUCUCUCCCCAUGUAUACCUAUAUAUUUUAUAUAGCUUCAUACAUUACAUAUGUGUCCCUUGCUGGUUUUCCACAGGGGCUCAGUGAAGGGCCUGGGUUUCCAGAGAAAGCCAGUGGAACACCCCAGCCAGAAGGUCACAGAGGUCUCCUUAGGGGAAGAGAACCCAGAUCAUGUACCUUUUUUUCUCAGCAAAAGGAGCAGGAAGUUAGGAACUUGAAACAGGGGUGGAGAUGCUACAGAGCCAGAAAUUGGAGCUUCUGGAGUUAUCCUUUAUGGGGAAGAUGGCAUCACUGGCUUGAAGGUGCAACUCUGGAACCUGGAAUACAGCAAGCUUGAGCAAAAGAAAAUCCAGAACUAGCAGGAAAAUACCAUCAAGCAGCUAAAGCUAAAAGUUGAGGGAUGAGCCCUGUUGGGGGGCCAAUACACUGUCAUUUGCUGGCUGAAAUGUAGAGUGCUGUCAUAUGGCACCUCCUCUGCUGCAUCUCAUUCUUCCAUGGCUUUGUAUUACCUCAGAAAAGCUCUUAAACCUGAAGUUCAGAACUUUCAUGAUCUAGACCUGUCCUGCCAUCCUGCAAGGUCAAGGUUCUCUAGUAUUUUUGUAAGGGAAAUGUGAGUUCUGUCCCCAUUCUAGAGAGAUGGGAGUUGAAGUUUGGAGAUACAGAAAACAUGGCAGGGGUGAGAUUUGGAAGAGGACUCUUCUGACUCCUGAGAGCCUUGGAUAAUGACUUUGGGCACAGCCUCCAGGAAGACUUGCAUGCCCAUCUUUGAAAAAUAGAAACUAACAAAAAAGUCUAAGGAACUAGUCAGGACUAUCCAAUACUCUAGAGCAGCACUCUCAACGAAGCAGAUGAAUAUAUUUUUUCUGCUGGCUUAUGUUUACAUCUACCUCAUUCCAAUAAGCAUAGGAAACAGCUUCUAAAACAUAUGCAUAAUAAUAAUAAUAGUAAUAAUAAUAAUAAUAAUAAUAAUAAUAAUAAUAAAAUUCUAAGUAAAACAUUCUGGACCAUAAAAGUAUGAAUAAAAUUAGACACUAAAAAGAGGGUUGGGACAGUGAACCAAUAUGUGAUAGGCAAAACAUAUGUUCUUACACAUAUAACAGUUUUUUCUCUAAAAUUCCUGGUGGCCAGAGAGAAAAAGGAAAUGUGAGGUCUACAUUUUUUCCUUAUCCCCAAGAUAAAAACCCAAAACAAACAAAACAGAUUUUCAAGAAGUGACUUCUGAGGCUCAGUACAAAAAGCAUUUUUUCAUGUACAAUUUGCAAAAGGUGAUUAUGUUUAAAAAGGCUGGGAGCCUCUUAUGCAACAAAAUGUGACUGAGCAACAUGAAUAUGUAAAGCAGUUGACCUCUAAGCAGCUCCAUGAAAGCCAUGGUGCCAGUUCAUGCUUCUCACCCACUCUUACUGUAUCAGGCAGGACAGAGCUUCCUGAGUGGGCAUGUUGGGUCUGAAGAUUCUUGGACUCUCAUUAAGGAGAGUGAGGAAAACCGAGCUCAUAUUUAUUCAACCAUAGGCAUUGAGUUCUUCUUUGUCAGAUGCCAUGUGGAUGUUGAGGAUGCAGAGGCAGAAAGGAUCUCUGCUUUCCCCAAAGUAACAGUCCCGCUAGAUGUCAUAAGAAUGUUGAACUUGCAGAAUGUAGUCUUGGCAGAAGGGUUGGGGAAGAGGUCAGGAAGAUGCCCUGGAGGAAAUGAUACUUACCUGCUGCCCCUGGCCUGCAGGGACAGCUGAACUGAAGGUUGCUCAUGUGAAUUUCCAAGGACAUCAAAUAAAAGGUAGGCACACAUUUUACCUUUAAACAAACUUCAGGAUGGCUCCUCUGCUCUCAGGAUCAAACUCCUCAAAUGGGAGAGUGAGGGAAUUUCAUGAGAGGCUGGACAGAGAGAGAGAGAGUAAGCAAAUUCAGAUGUUGGCUUUUAUUGGGAGGGCCCUCAUUCUUAGAAAGUUCCAUCCAAAAAAAGGUAAAAAAAGGUAAGAAGGUGGGAGUUAGAAAGAACAUGUGAGAGAAAUUUGACCCAAGGGCUGUAGGGUGAUGCCUAAGUUUGAAGACACGUCCUCAAACUUCCAGGACCAGGGCAAUGUCCAAGUUACCAUGAGAUGUAGUGAAAGUAAAAGCCUCUCUGCUCUGGAUGGAAAACACAAAUCAUUCAGAGUGACACCCCACAUUUACUGAAGCAGAAAGCUGAGGGAUGAGUCAGAAUUGGUAGAAUGCUAGAGUUCCAUUCGGGGCAAAGAGCUUGUGCAAAAACCUGAUGGCCAGAAAAUCAUGUGACAUUUAACAAGUCCUAAUAUGGCCAUGUCCAGAUGGAGGCUUUGAGGCAGCUUGGUGUCUGUAUGACCUUACAGAAGGCCCUGUAUUCCCAAGACAUGAAUCUCCUCCCAUGUGCAGCAAAAUAAGGAACUUUUUCAAUCCCCUAAUUGCCUCUAAUCCAGCUCUGAAACUGUGAACAUCCCUGCAGAAUGUGGAAUGUCUGGGGAGUUAUGAAAGGGACAUGGAGGACCAUACAGCAUCAUGUAGCAACCCACUGUUCUGUAAAUGAACAGGAUCAUUGCAGAGGAAGGAAUAAAACAAGCACUUUUGUAAAUUGCAUUGGUUCUUUGAGACACCACCAGGGCUCCAUUCAGCUCUCAGAAGCAGAAAGGUUCCACCAUGACUCAGGAAAGUGGAAGGUAAAGCCCCUUCUUAGUUUCCCGCCCUGGACCACCAGAGGGGAGGCUGACUUACACUUUCAUCUGUCUUUAGCUUAAACCCUAGCUUCACACUUCAUUGUGUCCUUGGAGACCUCUUGUGGAUAUUUAUUGAUUAACAGCAUUUUUUCCAGGGAUUUUUAUGUUAACUCAUAUGAGCUUGACAUAAAUGAUACUGCAGAUAUCAGAAAUGUCCCAGAGGCUUGGAAAAAAAUGAAAAAGAAAUAUUCUAUUAACUUGAGUAGGCUCCUCA